Molecule: long non-coding RNA, 99 nt
Organism: Myotis davidii
Lineage: Eukaryota; Metazoa; Chordata; Mammalia; Chiroptera; Vespertilionidae
Exons: 3
Source: RefSeq, a predicted model, not a curated record
AAAAAAGGAAGUUUCAAGUUACCCUGACAUUUCAAGGAUAUGUUAUCAUAGAUGCAAAAGGACAGGUAGGCUCAGUUAAGGUUAAGGUUGCCCUUGUCC